UACGUAGGGUCCGAGCGUUAAUCGGAAUUACUGGGCGUAAAGCGUGCGCAGGCGGUUCGUUAUGUCCGAUGUGAAAGCCCCGAGCUCAACUUGGGAAUGGCAUUGGAAACUGGCGGGCUGGAGUGUGGCAGAGGGGGGUGGAAUUCCACGUGUAGCAGUGAAAUGCGUAGAGAUGUGGAGGAACACCGAUGGCGAAGGCAGCCCCCUGGGCCAACACUGACGCUCAGGCACGAAAGCGUGGGGAGCAAACAGG
Molecule: ribosomal RNA, 253 nt
Filed under: uncultured bacterium
Lineage: Bacteria
Description: partial 16S ribosomal RNA
Rfam family: Bacterial small subunit ribosomal RNA
Source: RNAcentral